CCCUUAGAUGUUCUGGGCCGCACGCGUGCUACACUGAGUGGAUCAGCGGGUCAGGUUGCGCGAAAGCGUUUCCUAAUCUUUAAAUCCGCUCGUGAUGGGGAUUGACGGUUGCAAUUUUCUGUCAUGAACGAGGAAUACCUUGUAAGCGCGGGUCAUCAUCCCGCGCUGAAUACGUCCCUGCCCUUUGUACACACCGCCCGUCGCUACUACCGACUGAAUGGUUUAGUGAGAUCUCUGGAUUGACGCUGGCUAGGGGGCGACCCUUGGCCAGACUGUUGAGAAACUGCUCAAACUUGAUCAUUUAGAGGAAGUAAAAGUCGUAACA
RNAcentral lists this ribosomal RNA (325 nucleotides) under uncultured eukaryote. RNAcentral's name for it is "partial 18S ribosomal RNA". It matches the Rfam family "Eukaryotic small subunit ribosomal RNA", at positions 1470 to 1796 of the family's 1831-position model. The record is from RNAcentral.